This 465-nucleotide ribosomal RNA is filed under the name Vreelandella stevensii. RNAcentral's name for it is "partial 16S ribosomal RNA". It matches the Rfam family "Bacterial small subunit ribosomal RNA", at positions 338 to 795 of the family's 1533-position model. The record is from RNAcentral. Lineage: Bacteria; Pseudomonadati; Pseudomonadota; Gammaproteobacteria; Oceanospirillales; Halomonadaceae.
CCUACGGGAGGCAGCAGUGGGGAAUAUUGGACAAUGGGGGCAACCCUGAUCCAGCCAUGCCGCGUGUGUGAAGAAGGCCCUCGGGUUGUAAAGCACUUUCAGUGAGGAAGAACGCCUGGUGGUUAAUACCCAUCAGGAAAGACAUCACUCACAGAAGAAGCACCGGCUAACUCCGUGCCAGCAGCCGCGGUAAUACGGAGGGUGUGAGCGUUAAUCGGAAUUACUGGGCGUAAAGCGCGCGUAGGUGGCUUGAUAAGCCGGUUGUGAAAGCCCCGGGCUCAACCUGGGAACGGCAUCCGGAACUGUCAAGCUAGAGUGCAGGAGAGGAAGGUAGAAUUCCCGGUGUAGCGGUGAAAUGCGUAGAGAUCGGGAGGAAUACCAGUGGCGAAGGCGGCCUUCUGGACUGACACUGACACUGAGGUGCGAAAGCGUGGGUAGCAAACAGGAUUAGAUACCCCUGUAGUC